GAAAGAUGCCGGGCAAUCGCUCUCUGUGCUUCGCACAGAACCCAUAACUAUAACAUUUGCGUAUUUUUUUAUCAGUUAUUUGUUAUUGGUUACGCGCGGAGCGCGGGGAGAGGAAAGUCCGGACUCCCGAUUUGGCGCAAGCCAGGUCAACGUAGCGGCUAACAGCCGUCCAGGGCGACUUGAGAGGUGCGAACAGAGACGCCGAGUGCCGAAAGGCAUGAGGCGCCGAGCAUAUAACUUAUUAUGCGCUCGGCGAGUCUCGAUGGCAACAUCGGGGUAUGAAACGGCUAAAUCCUUACGGGGUGCAAGACAGAUUAUUUUUGCGGUAUUCGCGGAAAUAGGUAGUCGCACGAGCACGGCAGUAAUGCCGUGCCAAGAGAAAUGAUUGCCGCCGAGCAUAUAACUUGUUAUGUGCUUGGUACAGAAUCCGGCUUAUAGGCAUCUUUCCGGU
RNAcentral lists this RNase P RNA (451 nucleotides) under Candidatus Azambacteria bacterium RIFCSPHIGHO2_01_FULL_51_74. RNAcentral's name for it is "RNase P RNA component class A". It matches the Rfam family "Bacterial RNase P class A". Rfam says of the family: Ribonuclease P (RNase P) is a ubiquitous endoribonuclease, found in archaea, bacteria and eukarya as well as chloroplasts and mitochondria. Its best characterised activity is the generation of mature 5'-ends of tRNAs by cleaving the 5'-leader elements of precursor-tRNAs. Lineage: Bacteria; Candidatus Azamiibacteriota. The record is from RNAcentral. RNAcentral also lists the same sequence under 2 other names.